This 252-nucleotide ribosomal RNA is filed under the name uncultured bacterium. RNAcentral's name for it is "partial 16S ribosomal RNA". It matches the Rfam family "Bacterial small subunit ribosomal RNA", at positions 525 to 776 of the family's 1533-position model. The record is from RNAcentral.
ACGAAGGGGGCUAGCGUUGUUCGGAAUUACUGGGCGUAAAGCGAGUGUAGGUGGUUGUUCAAGUUGGAUGUGAAAGCCUUGAGCUCAACUCAAGAAAUGCAUUCAGGACUGGUCGACUAGAGUGCAGGAGAGGAUAGUGGAAUUCCCAGUGUAGCGGUGAAAUACGUAGAUAUUGGGAAGAACACCAGUGGCGAAGGCGGCUAUCUGGACGGUAACUGACACUAAGGCUCGAAAGCGUGGGGAGCAAACAGG